GAUGAACGCUGGCGGCGUGCCUAAUACAUGCAAGUCGAGCGAACAGACGAGGAGCUUGCUCCUCUGACGUUAGCGGCGGACGGGUGAGUAACACGUGGAUAACCUACCUAUAAGACUGGGAUAACUUCGGGAAACCGGAGCUAAUACCGGAUAAUAUAUUGAACCGCAUGGUUCAAUAGUGAAAGAGGGUUUUGCUGUCACUUAUAGAUGGAUCCGCGCCGCAUUAGCUAGUUGGUAAGGUAACGGCUUACCAAGGCGACGAUGCGUAGCCGACCUGAGAGGGUGAUCGGCCACACUGGAACUGAGACACGGUCCAGACUCCUACGGGAGGCAGCAGUAGGGAAUCUUCCGCAAUGGGCGAAAGCUUGACGGAACAACGCCGCGUGAGUGAUGAAGGUCUUCGGAUCGUAAAACUCUGUUAUUAGGGAAGAACAAAUGUGUAAGUAACUAUGCACGUCUUGACGGUACCUAAUCAGAAAGCCACGGCUAACUACGUG
Molecule: ribosomal RNA, 497 nt
Filed under: uncultured bacterium
Lineage: Bacteria
Description: partial 16S ribosomal RNA
Rfam family: Bacterial small subunit ribosomal RNA
Source: RNAcentral